GACAGAGGUGCCGAGCGUUAGGCGGAAUCACUGGGCUUAAAGCGUGUGUAGGCGGAUUCCUAAGUACCUUGUGAAAUCCCCGGGCUUAACCUGGGAACUGCAUUUGUGACUGGCGGGCUAGAGUAUGGCAGAGGGGGGUAGAAUUCCACGUGUAGCAGUGAAAUGCGUAGAGAUGUGGAGGAAUACCGAUGGCGAAGGCAGCCCCCUGGGCCAAUACUGACGCUCAUGCACGAAAGCGUGGGGAGCAAACAGG
This 253-nucleotide ribosomal RNA is filed under the name uncultured bacterium. Its description in RNAcentral is "partial 16S ribosomal RNA". It matches the Rfam family "Bacterial small subunit ribosomal RNA", at positions 524 to 776 of the family's 1533-position model. The record is from RNAcentral.